This 465-nucleotide ribosomal RNA is filed under the name Vreelandella stevensii. RNAcentral's name for it is "partial 16S ribosomal RNA". It matches the Rfam family "Bacterial small subunit ribosomal RNA", at positions 338 to 795 of the family's 1533-position model. Lineage: Bacteria; Pseudomonadati; Pseudomonadota; Gammaproteobacteria; Oceanospirillales; Halomonadaceae. The record is from RNAcentral.
CCUACGGGCGGCUGCAGUGGGGAAUAUUGGACAAUGGGGGCAACCCUGAUCCAGCCAUGCCGCGUGUGUGAAGAAGGCCCUCGGGUUGUAAAGCACUUUCAGUGAGGAAGAACGCCUGGUGGUUAAUACCCAUCAGGAAAGACAUCACUCACAGAAGAAGCACCGGCUAACUCCGUGCCAGCAGCCGCGGUAAUACGGAGGGUGCGAGCGUUAAUCGGAAUUACUGGGCGUAAAGCGCGCGUAGGUGGCUUGAUAAGCCGGUUGUGAAAGCCCCGGGCUCAACCUGGGAACGGCAUCCGGAACUGUCAAGCUAGAGGGCAGGAGAGGAAGGUAGAAUUCCCGGUGUAGCGGUGAAAUGCGUAGAGAUCGGGAGGAAUACCAGUGGCGAAGGCGGCCUUCUGGACUGAUACUGACACUGAGGUGCGAAAGCGUGGGUAGCAAACAGGAUUAGAUACCCUUGUAGUC